This 630-nucleotide ribosomal RNA is filed under the name uncultured bacterium. Its description in RNAcentral is "bacterial SSU rRNA". It matches the Rfam family "Bacterial small subunit ribosomal RNA", at positions 94 to 710 of the family's 1533-position model. The record is from RNAcentral.
AGUGGCGGACGGGUGAGUAACACGUGGGUAACCUGCCCUUAAGUGGGGGAUAACAUUUGGAAACAGAUGCUAAUACCGCAUAGAUCCAAGAACCGCAUGGUUCUUGGCUGAAAGAUGGCGUAAGCUAUCGCUUUUGGAUGGACCCGCGGCGUAUUAGCUAGUUGGUGAGGUGAUGGCUCACCAAGGCGAUGAUACGUAGCCGAACUGAGAGGUUGAUCGGCCACAUUGGGACUGAGACACGGCCCAAACUCCUACGGGAGGCAGCAGUAGGGAAUCUUCCACAAUGGACGCAAGUCUGAUGGAGCAACGCCGCGUGAGUGAAGAAGGCUUUCGGGUCGUAAAACUCUGUUGUUGGAGAAGAAUGGUCGGCAGAGUAACUGUUGUCGGCGUGACGGUAUCCAACCAGAAAGCCACGGCUAACUACGUGCCAGCAGCCGCGGUAAUACGUAGGUGGCAAGCGUUAUCCGGAUUUAUUGGGCGUAAAGCGAGCGCAGGCGGUUUUUUAAGUCUGAUGUGAAAGCCCUCGGCUUAACCGAGGAAGCGCAUCGGAAACUGGGAAACUUGAGUGCAGAAGAGGACAGUGGAACUCCAUGUGUAGCGGUGAAAUGCGUAGAUAUAUGGGAGAACACC